RNAcentral lists this ribosomal RNA (426 nucleotides) under uncultured bacterium. RNAcentral describes it as "partial 16S ribosomal RNA". It matches the Rfam family "Bacterial small subunit ribosomal RNA", at positions 354 to 796 of the family's 1533-position model. The record is from RNAcentral.
GUGAGGAAUUUUCCGCAAUGGGCGAAAGCCUGACGGAGCAAUGCCGCGUGAAGGAUGAAGGCCUAUGGGUUGUAAACUUCUUUUCUCAGAAAAGAAUUAUGACGGUAUCUGAGGAAUAAGCAUCGGCUAACUCUGUGCCAGCAGCCGCGGUAAGACAGAGGAUGCAAGCGUUAUCCGGAAUGAUUGGGCGUAAAGCGUCUGUAGGUUGUUUAAAAAGUAUUCUGUCAAAGAUUAGGGCUUAACCCUAGAUAGGCAGAAUAAACUUUUAAGCUAGAGUUUGGUAGAGGCAGAGGGAAUUCCCGGUGGAGCGGUGAAAUGCGUAGAUAUCGGGAGGAACACCAAAGGCGAAGGCACUCUGCUGGGCCAAUACUGACACUGAGAGACGAAAGCGAGGGGAGCAAAUGGGAUUAGAAACCCGUGUAGUCC